UGAUGAUAAUGAGACCACUGCACUAUCUGAGUUCUUGGAAAGCAGGUGAUGGAGAGUUUUCUGAGAAAAAGAAAGAG
This 77-nucleotide small nucleolar RNA is filed under the name Sorex araneus (European shrew). RNAcentral's name for it is "small Cajal body-specific RNA 18 (ENSSARG00000018491.1)". It matches the Rfam family "small Cajal body-specific RNA 18". Rfam says of the family: scaRNAs are a specific class of small nuclear RNAs which localise to the Cajal bodies and guide the modification of RNA polymerase II transcribed spliceosomal RNAs U1, U2, U4, U5 and U12. This C/D box domain U91 (also known as U4-8) was identified by Darzacq and is predicted to guide the 2'O-ribose methylation of U4 snRNA C8. Both the doublet (U12-22/U4-8) and singlet (U4-8) forms of this snRNA have been purified from Hela cells. Lineage: Eukaryota; Metazoa; Chordata; Mammalia; Eulipotyphla; Soricidae. The record is from RNAcentral.